UCAAGUGACUAAGUGCAUGUGGCGGAUGCCUUGGCGAUCACAGGCGAAGAAAGACGCGGCAGCCUGCGAAAAGCUGCGGGGAGCUGGCAAACGAGCUUUGAUCCGCAGAUAUCUGAAUGGGGGAACCCACACCGCAAGGUGUAUCCGUGACUGAAUACAUAGGUCACGGAGGCGAACGAGGAGAACUGAAACAUCUAAGUAUCCUCAGGAAAAGAAAUCAACCGAGAUUCCGGCAGUAGCGGCGAGCGAACCCGGAGGAGCCUAGCUUUUGAUAGUACGAACUUUAGCCGAAAGGUCCUGGAAAGGCCUGCUAUAGUGGGUGAUAGCCCCGUAGGCGAAAGAGUUCGUAUGGUACUAAGGAAGCGAGAAGUAGAGCGGGACACGUGGAAUCCUGUUCGAAGAUGGGGGGACCAUCCUCCAAGGCUAAAUACUCGUGAUCGACCGAUAGUGAACCAGUACCGUGAGGGAAAGGUGAAAAGAACCCCGGGAGGGGAGUGAAAUAGAACCUGAAACCGCAUGCAUACAAACAGUAGGAGCCUCACCAGAGGUGACUGCGUACCUUUUGCAUAAUGGGUCAGCGACUUACAUUCUGUGGCGAGCUUAACCGAAUAGGGGAGGCGCAGCGAAAGCGAGUUCGAAAUGAGCGUCCAGUCGCAGGGUGUAGACCCGAAACCAGAUGAGCUAUCCAUGGCCAGGUUGAAGGUGUGGUAACACACACUGGAGGACCGAACCGACUAGUGUUGCAAAAUUAGCGGAUGAGCUGUGGAUAGGGGUGAAAGGCCAAACAAAUCUGGAGAUAGCUGGUUCUCCCCGAAAACUAUUGAGGUAGUGCCUCGUGUGUCGCUCCAGGGGGUAGAGCACUGUUUUGGCUAGGGGGACAUGGAGUCUUACCAAACCAAGGCAAACUCCGAAUACCUGGAAGCGUAAGCACGGGAGACAGAGCACCGGGUGCUAACGUCCGGACUCAAAAGGGAAACAACCCAGACCGCCGGCUAAGGUCCCCAAUAACAGCUAAGUGGAAAACGAAGUGGAAAGGCCGUGACAACCAGGAAGUUGGCUUAGAAGCAGCCAUCCUUCAAAGAAAGCGUAAUAGCUCACUGGUCGAGUCCUUCUGCGCGGAAGAUGUAACGGGGCUAAGCUGUUAACCGAAGCCGCGGAUGCACUGAUUAUUCAGUGCGUGGUAGGGGAGCGUUCUGUAAGUCUGCGAAGGCGGUUCGAGAGGACUGCUGGAGAUAUCAGAAGUGCGAAUGCUGACAUGAGUAACGUUAAAGCAGGUGAAAAGCCUGCUCGCCGUAAGCCCAAGGAUUCCUGCUCUACGUUCAUCGGAGCAGGGUGAGUCGGCUCCUAAGGUCAGGCCGAAAGGCGUAGCCGAUGGGAAUCAGGUUAAUAUUCCUGAACCUGCGUCAGAUGCGAUGGGGGGACGGAGCAUGAAAGAUCAUCCGGGUGUUGGAAGUCCCGGUUGUUGAGCGUAGGAGGUCUGCAGGCAAAUCCGCAGACGCAUCUCCAAGGCGAAGUCACGUGCCGCCACGGCGGCGAAGUGAUCGGAAGUGCUUCCAAGAAAAGCCUCUAAGCACCAGUCUGACGCGGACCGUACCGCAAACCGACACUGGUGGGCGAGCUGAAUAUGCUCAGGCGCUUGAGAGAACUCGGGAGAAGGAACUCGGCAAAUUGACACCGUAACUUCGGGAGAAGGUGCGCCGGCGUAGAUUGUAGUCCCUUGCGGGCGAAGGUUGAACCGGUCGAAGAUACCAGCUGGCUGCAACUGUUUAUUAAAAACACAGCACUCUGCAAACACGAAAGUGGACGUAUAGGGUGUGAUGCCUGCCCGGUGCUGGAAGGUUAAUUGAUGGUGUAAUCGAAAGAGAAGCUCCUGAUCGAAGCCCCAGUAAACGGCGGCCGUAACUAUAACGGUCCUAAGGUAGCGAAAUUCCUUGUCGGGUAAGUUCCGACCUGCACGAAUGGCGUAACGACUUCCUGCUGCCAUGACAUGAGCGAGCCGUUUGUCAUGUAAUGUACUGUCUGCGGUUUUAAGAUCUGUUUUCCCUGAUAAGAACCUUCCUGCAGUAACAUGGCUGCAAACUUUGCGUAAUCGUCCAGUGUAGAGACCAGUCCUGCACCGCCAGAUUCAAACGCCGGUACCUGUUUCAUCGCAUUCAUGAUACCAAGAUGAUUUUCCGUAUAAAGUUCUAAUCCCUGUUCCGUCCUCUGGUAUACUUUUGCAAGGCGCUCCUGCUUGUUCUCUGGUACAUAAAAUGCAGUAUCUUCCAUGUCAAGUGGUUCAAAAAAUUCUUCUUUCAGAAAUUCGCCAAAAGUUUUUCCGCUGAUGACCUCAAUAACCGCCCCAAGCACAUCUGCAGAGGUUCCAUACUGGAAACUCUCUCCCGGCUGGAACUGAAGCGGUAUCAAUCCAAGACGGUUUGCAACCUCCUGCGUUGUCAUCGCAUCCUCCAGAUAUAAAUGUUCUUUGAUCCUGUCAAAGAGCUUUUCCGUCUCCAUGGAGCAGACACUUGUGACAUCCCCGCCGUACAUCAGACCGGAUGUCAUGUUAAGCAGAUCACAGAUCCUCA
Molecule: ribosomal RNA, 2567 nt
Filed under: human gut metagenome
Description: bacterial LSU rRNA
Rfam family: Bacterial large subunit ribosomal RNA (bases 2-2088)
Source: RNAcentral